Molecule: transfer RNA, 57 nt
Filed under: Bos taurus (domestic cattle)
Lineage: Eukaryota; Metazoa; Chordata; Mammalia; Artiodactyla; Bovidae
Also listed under: 5 other names
Source: Rfam by way of RNAcentral
UCCCUGGUGGCUCACCUGCCAAUGCAGGAGAUCCAGGUUCAAUUCCUGGCCUGGGAA